RNAcentral lists this unclassified non-coding RNA (392 nucleotides) under Spiroplasma endosymbiont of Tachytrechus sp. Its description in RNAcentral is "partial contains 16S ribosomal RNA, 16S-23S ribosomal RNA intergenic spacer, and 23S ribosomal RNA". The stretch from base 1 to 78 matches the Rfam family "Bacterial small subunit ribosomal RNA", at positions 1456 to 1533 of the family's 1533-position model. The record is from RNAcentral. Lineage: Bacteria; Bacillati; Mycoplasmatota; Mollicutes; Entomoplasmatales; Spiroplasmataceae.
CCAAGGGUAGGAUUAGCGAUUAGGGUGAAGUCGUAACAAGGUAUCCGUACGGGAACGUGCGGAUGGAUCACCUCCUUUCUAUGGAGUAUUCGUAGAUUAAGAAAAAAAGCUGAGUGAAACGAUAAAACAGCUUAUGAUUAUAUCUCGUUCUAUCUAGUUUUCAGAGAUUGUUUUUACGGGCCAUUAGGCCCAAACAAUUUCUGUAAAGAAAAUCGUUCUUUGAAAACUGAAUAUUAGAUGAAAAUAGAUAUUUUAUUUUUCUUACGUUUAUAAACAAUAUAAAACGUAUUUAGUAACUUAAUUUAGAUUAUUACUAAGAAAACUAAAAUUUCAUUAAUUUUAUAGAUUAUCUAUAUAUGCAAUAGGUUUUUCUUUAGAAAGUAUAGUAAGGG